Tupaia belangeri (northern tree shrew) is the source of this 135-nucleotide small nucleolar RNA. The record is from Ensembl. Lineage: Eukaryota; Metazoa; Chordata; Mammalia; Scandentia; Tupaiidae.
UGUCCCUGGCCUGGGUAGAGUGACAUCUUGCUGGUGCUGCUCAUCUCAUAUCAGUCAGGGACAAAACAACCCCUUGUUUAUCCCAGCUUGGCUUUUGGUCAGGGCCCUUGCCUGGUUUUUGACGUGGACAUAUGA